GCUGGGUGUGGCAGCGGGCACCUGUAAUCCCAGCUACUUGGGAGGCUGAGGCAGGAGACUUGCUUGAAUCCAGGAGGUGGAGGUUGCGGUGAGCUGAGAUGGCGCCACUGCACUCCAGCCUGGGUGACAGAGCAAGACUCCGUCUCAG
Unclassified non-coding RNA from Macaca mulatta (Rhesus monkey), 148 nucleotides. It matches the Rfam family "Metazoan signal recognition particle RNA". From Rfam's summary of the family: The signal recognition particle (SRP) is a universally conserved ribonucleoprotein. It is involved in the co-translational targeting of proteins to membranes. Lineage: Eukaryota; Metazoa; Chordata; Mammalia; Primates; Cercopithecidae. The record is from Ensembl.